This 275-nucleotide ribosomal RNA is filed under the name uncultured Planctomyces sp. Its description in RNAcentral is "partial 16S ribosomal RNA". It matches the Rfam family "Bacterial small subunit ribosomal RNA", at positions 338 to 623 of the family's 1533-position model. Lineage: Bacteria; Pseudomonadati; Planctomycetota; Planctomycetia; Planctomycetales; Planctomycetaceae. The record is from RNAcentral.
CCUACGGGGGGCUGCAGUCGAGAAUCUUCGGCAAUGGGCGCAAGCCUGACCGAGCGACGCCGCGUGCGGGAUGAAGGCCCUUGGGUUGUAAACCGCUGUCAGAGGGGAUGAAAGCGAAAGCUUGACAGAGCCUCAGAGGAAGCACGGGCUAAGUUCGUGCCAGCAGCCGCGGUAAUACGAACUGUGCGAACGUUAUUCGGAAUCACUGGGCUUACAGGGUGCGUAGGCGGCUUUGCAAGUCAGGUGUGAAAUCCCCCGGCUCAACCGGGGAAUGG